This 253-nucleotide ribosomal RNA is filed under the name uncultured bacterium. Its description in RNAcentral is "partial 16S ribosomal RNA". It matches the Rfam family "Bacterial small subunit ribosomal RNA", at positions 524 to 776 of the family's 1533-position model. The record is from RNAcentral.
GACGAGGGGUCCAAGCGUUAUUCGGAAUUAUUGGGCGUAAAGGGCGCGUAGGCGGCUAGAUGUGUCAAAGGUGAAAUCCCUCGGCUCAACUGAGGAACUGCCUUUGAAACUGUCUGGCUUGAGGCCGGGAGAGGGUAGCGGAAUUCCCAGUGUAGCGGUGAAAUGCGUAGAUAUCAGGAGGAACACCGGUGGCGAAGGCGGGUCUCUGGGCCGUAACUGACGCUGAGGAGCGAAAGCGUGGGGAGCGAACAGG